UGAUCGAUAGGGUGGAAGCUGUCUGAGAGAUACAUACGCGUAGUGAUGGCCCUCUGGAGUCCAACCUCCCACCCAUGUGUAUUGUACCUUGUUGCUUCGGCGGGCCCGCCUCACGGCCGCCGGGGGGCUUCUGCCCUCUGGCCCGCGCCCGCCGAAGACACCAUUGAACACUGUCUGAAGAUUGCAGUCUGAGCAAUUAGCUAAAUAAGUUAAAACUUUCAACAACGGAUCUCUUGGUUCCGGCAUCGAUGAAGAACGCAGCGAAAUGCGAUACGUAAUGUGAAUUGCAGAAUUCAGUGAAUCAUCGAGUCUUUGAACGCACAUUGCGCCCCUUGGUAUUCCGGGGGGCAUGCCUGUCCGAGCGUCAUUGCUGCCCUCAAGCACGGCUUGUGUGUUGGGCCCCGUCCUCCUUCCCGGGGGACGGGCCCGAAAGGCAGCGGCGGCACCGCGUCCGGUCCUCGAGCGUAUGGGGCGUUAUGUCACCCAGCAUCUUAGUAGGCCUGGCCGGCUGCUUGCUGACAACCAUCAAUCU
RNAcentral lists this ribosomal RNA (532 nucleotides) under Penicillium citreonigrum. Its description in RNAcentral is "eukaryotic LSU rRNA". The stretch from base 214 to 367 matches the Rfam family "5.8S ribosomal RNA". Lineage: Eukaryota; Fungi; Ascomycota; Eurotiomycetes; Eurotiales; Aspergillaceae. The record is from RNAcentral.